Molecule: ribosomal RNA, 636 nt
Filed under: Salmonella enterica
Lineage: Bacteria; Pseudomonadati; Pseudomonadota; Gammaproteobacteria; Enterobacterales; Enterobacteriaceae
Also listed under: 2 other names
Description: partial 23S ribosomal RNA
Rfam family: Bacterial large subunit ribosomal RNA
Source: RNAcentral
ACCCUUUAAUGUUUGAUGUUCUAACGUGGACCCGUUACCCGGGUUGCGGACAGUGUCUGGUGGGUAGUUUGACUGGGGCGGUCUCCUCCUAAAGAGUAACGGAGGAGCACGAAGGUUGGCUAAUCCUGGUCGGACAUCAGGAGGUUAGUGCAAUGGCAUAAGCCAGCUUGACUGCGAGCGUGACGGCGCGAGCAGGUGCGAAAGCAGGUCAUAGUGAUCCGGUGGUUCUGAAUGGAAGGGCCAUCGCUCAACGGAUAAAAGGUACUCCGGGGAUAACAGGCUGAUACCGCCCAAGAGUUCAUAUCGACGGCGGUGUUUGGCACCUCGAUGUCGGCUCAUCACAUCCUGGGGCUGAAGUAGGUCCCAAGGGUAUGGCUGUUCGCCAUUUAAAGUGGUACGCGAGCUGGGUUUAGAACGUCGUGAGACAGUUCGGUCCCUAUCUGCCGUGGGCGCUGGAGAACUGAGGGGGGCUGCUCCUAGUACGAGAGGACCGGAGUGGACGCAUCACUGGUGUUCGGGUUGUCAUGCCAAUGGCACUGCCCGGUAGCUAAAUGCGGAAGAGAUAAGUGCUGAAAGCAUCUAAGCACGAAACUUGCCCCGAGAUGAGUUCUCCCUGAGACUUAGAGUCUCCUGAAG